CGGUUUCCUAUAACAGAGAAAGCGCUGGCGAGUAGUGUGCUCACGUCAGUAAACCCGCACCCCAUGCCUCACGACCCCGACUCUGCAGCCCUCCCCUGCCUGGUCCUCUGUGCCGCCUAGCUUACGGUCUAUGCUUAAGAUACGUGAACUGUUACUCACGGUUUCCCCGGGCGACAGUCGUACUGUUGGAAGCACGUUGGCGGACACAGGUUGCUGCGGUCAUCCACUCGCGUUGCUGCUGGUUCUGCCCGAAUCAGCCCGGCGUCUCCCUGCAGGCCUCUAUAGCGACUGCUCUCAGGGUCGCCCGCUGCUGCGUCGUCUCGGCUGGCGCGCCGGUUUCGUCCAACCUCCAUCUCCUCCGCCUGCUUCCCAACAGUCACGCUCCUUACCGGCCUACAUCCGUUGCUUCACUUAAAAAGUAGUCCUUUCCAAUCCGUUGCCAGCUUCCACACCUGUUGCUCAUUUGCUCAUUAUGUCAUCAGUGGAGGUGUGCGGUUUAAGAUCAGUUCAGCCAUUGGAGAAAGUUUAUUGCCAUCCAACGCUUAAUAUCAUUUAGACAGUUGGAAAUGGACUGUAAGGACUUUGAGUCACCUGGCUUCAGAGGAUCUAAAAACAAACACCAGGUGGGAGGAAUGGCGUCUGCUGAGACGGAGACUUGAUUUGUGAGACAGAGAUUGGACCUGUGUCCUCUCAAGAAAGAAAACACAGCAUCUUGUGAUGCCCACUCUGCAGCGUGAACA
This is a long non-coding RNA of Micropterus dolomieu (smallmouth bass), 740 nucleotides long. RefSeq lists it as uncharacterized. The transcript is spliced from 3 exons. NCBI's taxonomy places the organism in Eukaryota, Metazoa, Chordata, Actinopteri, Centrarchiformes, Centrarchidae. The record is from RefSeq and is a predicted model, not a curated record.